AUGGCUCAGGAUGAACGCUAGCUACAGGCUUAACACAUGCAAGUCGAGGGGCAGCAGUCAGGUUAGCUUGCUAACCUGGAUGGCGACCGGCGCACGGGUGAGUAACGCGUAUCCAACCUUCCCCCUGCUCAGGGAUAGCCCGGUGAAAACCGGAUUAAGACCUGAUAGUUUCACUAGAUGGCAUCUGACGGUGAAUAAGGGUUUCGGCAAGGGAUGGGGAUGCGUCUGAUUAGCUUGUUGGCGGGUAACGGCCCACCAAGGCGACGAUCAGUAGGGGUUCUGAGAGGAAGGCCCCCCACAUUGGAACUGAGACACGGUCCAAACUCCUACGGGAGGCAGCAGUGAGGAAUAUUGGUCAAUGGGCGGAAGCCUGAACCAGCCAAGUAGCGUGCAAGGAUGACGGCCCUAUGGGUUGUAAACUGCUUUUGUGCGGGAAUAAAGUCAGGGACGCGUCCCUGUUUGCAUGUACCGCAAGAAUAAGGACCGGCUAAUUCCGUGCCAGCAGCAGC
This 509-nucleotide ribosomal RNA is filed under the name uncultured bacterium. RNAcentral describes it as "bacterial SSU rRNA". It matches the Rfam family "Bacterial small subunit ribosomal RNA", at positions 19 to 518 of the family's 1533-position model. The record is from RNAcentral.